This 490-nucleotide ribosomal RNA is filed under the name uncultured bacterium. RNAcentral describes it as "bacterial SSU rRNA". It matches the Rfam family "Bacterial small subunit ribosomal RNA", at positions 355 to 861 of the family's 1533-position model. The record is from RNAcentral.
UAACGAAUCUUCCCCAAUGCACGCAAGUGUGAGGGAGCGACGCCGCGUGGAGGUUAAGUCCUUCGGGAUGUAAACUCCUGUCAGGGGUAAGAAAGUUCUGAUCUACCCCAGAGGAAGUGGCGACUAACUCUGUGCCAGCAGUCGCGGUAAUACAGAGGCCACAAGCGUUAGGCGGAAUCACUGGGCUUAAAGCGUGUGUAGGCGGAUCGUUAAGUGUCCUGUGAAAUCCCACGGCUUAACCGUGGAACGGCAGGGCAAACUGGCGAUCUUGAGCCAUUCAGGGGCAGCUGGAACAGACGGUGGAGCGGUGAAAUGCGUAGAUAUCGUCUGGAACGCCAACGGUGAAGACAGGCUGCUGGGGAUGCGCUGACGCUGAGACACGAAAGCCAGGGGAGCAAACGGGAUUAGAUACCCCGGUAGUCCUGGCCCUAAACGAUGUCCACUGGAUCGUGGGCGGUUUGACGCUGCUCACGGUCGAAGCCAAAGUGAC